RNAcentral lists this ribosomal RNA (482 nucleotides) under uncultured bacterium. Its description in RNAcentral is "partial 16S ribosomal RNA". It matches the Rfam family "Bacterial small subunit ribosomal RNA", at positions 30 to 507 of the family's 1533-position model. The record is from RNAcentral.
AUUGAACGCUGGCGGCAUGCCUUACACAUGCAAGUCGAACGGUAACGGGCCUUCGGGUGCCGCCGAGUGGCGCACGGGUGCGUAAUACAUCGGAACGUGCCCGAUCGUGGUGGAUAACGAGGCGAAAGCUUUGCUAAUACCGCAUACGAUCUACGGCUGAAAGCAGGGGACCGCAAGGCCUUGCGCGGACGGAGCGGCCGAUGGCAGAUUAGGUAGUUGGUGGGAUAAAAGCGUACCAAGCCGACGAUCUGUAGCUGGUCUGAGAGGAUGAUCAGCCACACUGGGACUGAGACACGGCCCAGACUCCUACGGGAGGCAGCAGUGGGGAAUUUUGGACAAUGGGCGCAAGCCUGAUCCAGCCAUGCCGCGUGCAGGAUGAAGGCCUUCGGGUUGUAAACUGCUUUUGUACGGAAAGAAAAGCCUUCUGUUAAUACAGGGGGGUCAUGACGGUACCGUAAGAAUAAGCACCGGCUAACUACGUG